UACCGGCUGCUCGAGUGAUGGCCACUAUUACUGGGUUUAAAGCGUCCGUAGCUUGACUGUUAGGUCUCUUGGGAAAUCUUCACGCUCAACGUGAAGGCGUCUAAGAGAUACCGGCAGUCUUGGAACUGGGAGAGGUAAACCGUACUUCGGGGGUAGGAGUGAAAUCUUGUAAUCCUCGAGGGACGACCUAUGGCGAAGGCAGUUUACCAGAACAGCUUCGACAGUGAGGGACGAAAGCUGGGGGAGCAAACGGGAUUAGAUACCCCGGUAGUCCCAGCCGUAAACAAUGUGCGUUAGGUGUGUCGGUAACCACGUGUUACUGAUGCGCCGAAGAGAAAUCGUGAAACGCACCACCUGGGAAGUACGGUCGCAAGGCUGAAACUUAAAGGAAUUGGCGGGGGAGCACCACAACAGGUGGAGCCUGCGGUUUAAUUGGAUUCAACGCCGGACAUCUCACCGGAUAAGACAGCUGAAUGAUUGUCAAUCUGAAGGUUUUACAUGACUAGCUGAGAGGAGGUGCAUGGCCGUCGUCAGUUCGUACUGUGAAGCAUCCUGUUAAGUCAGGCAACGAACGAGACCCACGCCGACAAUUGCCAGCAGCAUCUCCGGAUGGCUGGGGACAUUGUCGGGACCGCCUCUGCUAAAGAGGAGGAAGGAAUGGGCAACGGUAGGUCAGCAUGCCCCGAAUUAUCCGGGCUACACGCGGGCUACAAUGGACGGGACAAUGGGUAACAACACCGAAAGGUGCAGUCAAUCUCCUAACCCCGUCCUUAGUUAGGAUUGCGGGUUGCAACUCACCCGCAUGAAUCUGGAAUCUGUAGUAAUCGCGUUUCACUAUAGCGCGGUGAAUACGUCCCUGCUCCUUGCACACACCGCCCGUCAAACCAUCCUAGUGGGGUUUGGAUGAGUCCCUGGUCUU
Molecule: ribosomal RNA, 919 nt
Filed under: uncultured bacterium
Lineage: Bacteria
Description: bacterial SSU rRNA
Rfam family: Archaeal small subunit ribosomal RNA
Source: RNAcentral